AUCAAACCCUUGGAGGGGUUCAAUAUUCUUGAAAUUUUAUCGUAUGAAUGUAAAGGAUCCUUUACAAUUUUUUGUUGUGUAUAGGGGUCAAAGUCAACAUAAUAGAACACAUAAAGUUGCCGCGUGAUAUAUGAAGGGUUAAGCAAACUGAGAAUGCACAUAAACCUACAUCACACCGCCGAGAAAAGGUGAAAGAGAAAAAGAAAGAGUGCACCUGUACAAACACACCCAUCUUAUGUGUAAUGUGUUGCUUUCAUGAUUCGGCUAUUUAUUAACACAUUCAAUAGAAUCUCAAAUAUAAAUUGAACUGUUAUGAAAGAAUCACCAUAAGUUCCGAAGGACCAGAGAGAUUAUAGCAAGGACCAGGCAUACAGUAACAGGUGUAAAAUGUUGCACUUGUAUACACCCCAUGAAGGAGUUGAAGAAGGACAAUAAAUACAACACCACAAAAAAAAAAAAAAAAAAAAAAAAAAAGGGAAAAA
RNAcentral lists this long non-coding RNA (482 nucleotides) under Olea europaea (common olive). Its description in RNAcentral is "long non-coding RNA (OEUR_LNC009825)". Lineage: Eukaryota; Viridiplantae; Streptophyta; Magnoliopsida; Lamiales; Oleaceae. The record is from RNAcentral.